CACUGUGAACACACACACAACAAACCCCCCCCAGGCCAAAGAGGCCGACUCUCGCUGAGAAACCAGAGGCACAGCGUAGUGGGCGUGCUCACCAUUCAGAGAGCCCAAUCCGAUUGGCUGCCUGCGCUGCCGUCACUCGUGUCAGCCAAAUGGAGCCGAGCAGACGGCAGACACCUGACCCUCAGGAAAGCCGUCUCAGAGGAGAGGCCGCAGAGCACUGGAGCUCGUGCUGGCUACAGAUCGGGCGACGCCCCCAUCAUGGCGGCCUCGUUGGACAGCGGCCUGAGCGGCAGCGCCUACAGCCUAUUGGAUGAGGAAGGAGAGGCCAACGAGGUGGACAGCGCCAUCUUCCAGGUUCCCCGACUGUGAGUCGCCUUUAGUUGUACAUCCAGUCCUCACACUGCCCUCAGGUACAUUCUAGUACAAUAUGUCUAUGCUUUCAUCGCACGUGUUUCUGUAGUGGGAAAAUCUCCAACGGCACCGACGGGUUGAAAUCAUCUCUGGGACUCGACGGUGAAGGUUUGAUUGAUUUAUUUAAAUUUGACAUUAGAUUUGACUGUCUGUUGUUUGUUUAUUAUUUAUUGACUUAUUCACUGUUAAGUAAAGAAGGGCAGAAUGUGACUCCAUUAUGUCGGGUUCAUUCAUUUACUAUACCACAGACUUUGUUCUGGAUCAGAUCCAGAUUGUGAUUUCAUCACAAUUUAAUUUUUUAUUUUAUUUUUUUAAAUGGGCGUGCCCUUACAUUAAGACAUUCUGUAUCAUUAUUGAUUGGGUUAUACAUUAUCUUACAAGCCUUUAGAGCCUGUAUUAUGAACACGGAUUAUCAUAUCUCUCCGUUGGCGGGCUUCACCUAACCAAACAUUCUCCGUCACAGAGCAGCUGUACUAUGAAGCAGGAUAUAAACACGUUCACUUUAGACAGGUGAUUUCAGCCUGGCGACAUCUACGCUCUAGUGACAGAGGUGGAGAUGGCAUCGCCAGAUUCACCACAAACACGGAGAAACUGUGUAGAGCAAUUUACAUCACAAUUGACGAAUAAUUCUUUAAGAAUAUGAAGAAUUAAAAUCCAUAAUCCAGACCAAAAACAACACUGUUGAUGUAGCAUAAGCAGGAAUGAAUGAAUGAAUGCAGGAAUUGAUGUUAAUACUAAAAUUGGUGAGAUUAUUAAGGGUGCCUCGAUCCAAUAUUGAUAUCAGAUAUCGGUCCGACAUCAGCCAGAAAAGGAAUAUCGGAUUUAUUAUAAUAUACUUAUUCAAUUGUAGAAUACUGUAGAUAUUAUGUUGAAGGUUAUAAUGUACGUAAGCAAUUGAUUAAUAAUAAAUGGGUCAGUUUUACUGUUGCUGACUAUUAU
RNAcentral lists this long non-coding RNA (1350 nucleotides) under Gouania willdenowi (blunt-snouted clingfish). RNAcentral describes it as "lncRNA (ENSGWIG00000024427.1)". The record is from RNAcentral. Lineage: Eukaryota; Metazoa; Chordata; Actinopteri; Blenniiformes; Gobiesocidae.